This is an RNA transcript of Eucalyptus grandis, 3266 nucleotides long. It is a transcript of the gene named DExH-box ATP-dependent RNA helicase DExH18, mitochondrial-like, with no coding region annotated. The transcript has 2 exons. The record is from RefSeq and is a predicted model, not a curated record. NCBI's taxonomy places the organism in Eukaryota, Viridiplantae, Streptophyta, Magnoliopsida, Myrtales, Myrtaceae.
GCUUCAUUUUGGAGGAUUCUUGCACCUAUUUUAGCAAUAGAAAUUAUAUACAAGCAUGUGAUGGGAUAUAUGGCUCUGUAUUCUUAUACCGACUGCAUUUAAAAGGUUCAUUAACCUGCAAAUAAAGUUCCUCUGCACCGCUCGGCCCAACAUGGCUGAUCGUUGUUUUUUCCUCCUUUUCCUCCGUACCCUCGAUCACCACCAGUCAACAAUCAGUCACUAAAACAUGGGUGUGACAUAUUCAUGCAUCACCUCUAUACUAAUGCAAAAGUUUCUCAAGUACAGGCAAAUGUCUGCUCUCGAAACAGUUGUUCCCAAAACAUUAAGAGAUUUUACUCUAAUGUUUUAGAAUGUCUCAGGACAUAAUAGAGUUGCGUCUUUGCCAUAACGUUCUUCUGUACGUCGGCAUGCAUUAUCUCACUGAUAUUUCAUGACAUUUCAUCAUUUGGCAACAAUUUCUAUGUAGGAAGAGCCGCCUAAUGGGAAGGAUUCACGAUUGAAGAUGGCAGCCAUAACUGCAUUUGAAAGUCGUGCUUCAAGCUCAGGAGCUUGAGGUUUUUUUCACAGAUAUAAGAAACAUCCUUGGACUUCAAAAUUUUAAUAGCCGUCGCUGCCCAUGAACUGUAUUUUUAGCUUACUGGAGCACCCUUUUCUUUUUAUAACAAAAGGGGCCCAAGCCCCUAAAUUUUACACAUUGUCUAAUCCUACAAGUAAAGUAACAUGCAAUAUUUUUGUUAGUUUCUUCAUUUAAACAAUCUUAUUGUAGUCCGCUUAGGUUAUUGGCUAAGGAAGUGGUUGACAGGGUGAGUGCUUUGGGAGUUUAGUCUUCACACUAAGCAGGAAAAGAAGAAUGUCCCUUUCUCGAACCAUGUUGCUUGUACUGUGGAAAUGGCGUUGACCGAUCACUUAUGUGAUGUGGCCAUAAUUUAUGAGAUCCAGAUGAUGGCAGACCCAUACAGAGGCUAUGCAUGGACGAGAGCAUUGCUAGGACUUAAGGUCGAUGAGAUACAUGUUUGUGGGGAUCCAAGUGUUCUGAAUAUGGUGAGGAAAAUCUGUUCUGAUACUGGGGAUGAGUUGCACGAAUGCCACUACGACAGAUUCAAGCCACUGGUUGUUGAAGCCAAGACGCUGCUCGGGCAUCUUCGCAAUGUUCGAUCCGGUGAUUGUGUAGUUGCCUUUUCUUUGAGAGAAAUAUGUGAGGUUAAAUUGGCAAUUGAGAAGCACACCAAUCACCGCUGCUGUGCUAUAUACGGUGCCUUGCCACCUGAGACUCAAAGACAGCAAGCUAACUUGUUUAAUGAUCAAGACAAUGAGAAUGAUGUCUUGGUUGCAAGUGAUGCAGUGGGGAUGGGUCUCAAUCUGAAUAUCAGAAGGGUUGUGUUUUCCACUCUCUCGAAGUACAACGGUGAUAAGAUGGUGCCAGUUCCCGCUUCACAGGUGAAGCAGAUUGCUGGAAGAGCUGGUAGAAGAGGAAGCUGAUAUCCUGAUGGGCUUACAACUACCUUUGAGCUUAAUGAUUUAGAGUAUCUCAUUGAGUGUUUGAAGCAGCCAUUUGAAGAAGUUAAGAAGGUGGGUCUCUUUCCUUUCUUUGAGCAGGUUGAGCUCUUUGCUUUCCAACUUCCCAAUGUUACGUUCUGCAAGCUACUCUAGAAAUUUGGUGAAAAUUGCCGUCUUGUUGGCUCAUACUUCUUGUGUCGGCACGACCAUAUUAAGAGGGUGGUAGACAUGUUGGAGAAGGUCCUUGGGCUAUCUCUUGAAGAUCGCUUCAAAAUUUGUUUUGCACCAAUUAAUGUCAGAGACCCAAAAUCAAUGUAUCAUCUUCUGAGGUUUGCCACAGCUUACAGUCAAAACUUUUGUUUUGCACCAAUUGUAAUCCAAUUAAUAUAGCAGUGGGCCUGCCUAAGGGCUCUGCUCGAAAUGAUGCUGAGCUUUUGGAUCUGGAGACCAAACAUCAGGUGCUGUCUAUGUAUCUGUGGUUGUCUCACUUCUUUGAGGAGUAAACUUUUCCAUAUAUUAAGAAGGCAGAAGCUAUGGCGACAGGCAUUGCUGAGUUAUUGGGUCAUUCUUUGAAAGUCGCUAACUGGAAACCAGAAUCAAGGCAGGCAGGAAAAUGAAAGCCUAAAGAGAAGCCUGAACAAAAGGAGGAUGGCUAUGAGAGACCGCAGUCAGUCGCGAAACUGUUAUCUUUAUGCUUUCUCCCUUGCAUCCCACCACAAUUGCCGUCUCCUAGUUAAAUGCCCAUGGAACUCAGGAGGAAUUUUGACAUUAUCCUGGAACUAUUUCCAGCAAGACCAGAUGAUGUUCUUUCAACAGCUCACAAGCCCUCCCUCAACAUGCCAAGCUAUUCUGGUUGCAGCAGAUUGCUUUACUUCCACAUUCUGUCUGUUGAGAUUUAGAAUAAUUUAUUGCAGGUUGUCUCCACUGAAUAGCAAUUUAUGCAAUGUCAUCUGCCUAUUAUGUGAAGGUGUCGAUAGAGCAUCAUGCAUCCAUUCCAUCUGAACAAUCUCUAAGCACUCCUUCUUUACAUUCUCUUUGAACUCAUUUACCUGCCUUUUCAUUAGGGAUUGUGCCGACCUUGCAGCAGCAAGCAGUUUCAUGUGAGCAGGCUGGUGAAGGGUGCUUUGCUUCAAUGAGAGAGAGCUAAAAUUUUGACAAAAUAUUCUGACUGUCAAAUUAUCUCCAACCAAUAUUUCUUCGUAGCUUCUAUCCCGAAAUGCCCAUGAAAAGGGUGCUUUGUACUGUAGGACAAUGGGAGAGAAUAAUCCACCAAAAUAGUGAUGCUUCAGAUUUGUUCCAUGCAAGAAUAAUGUGCUAAUUUGUUGUUUUCCCCAUGCUUUGCUUGAGGCUAUGCAUAUGCAGAGGAUGUAAGAGGUGGCUCUGAUUACCUUUAUUGCUCAGAAUGAACAGAUCCAUCUCUGCCACAUGGGUGGCUCAGUUUUACCUUUGGAUACUAUGUGGAUCGUCACUAGUGCAGCAUGGCGUUCAAGCAACUAGUCAGGCCAGGCUUUGUGGAUGGAUAGCUCAUACUAGUGCAACAGAGUGCCUCUCAUCAUCAGUUUGGGUCUGACCAUCCUUCGUUGGGAUUCAUUCAAUCUUUCUGGUAUUUUCCUAUGUGCUUAUAUCCUCCUAUCCAGUUGUUCUCAUCAGCAUGCUUCGGGACUAUUGAGUGAGGGUGUAUUCUCUUAAUGAGAAUGAUGUUACGUUUGGUUUAAUAUGGUAUUUUAUCGGAUCGUCUCUAUUUUAAUAUUAUAAUUUUUCAUUUUAAA